CUUUAAUUGCCAUCAUUUAGUUGGGCACUUUAAAGAGACUGCCGGUGUUAAGCCGGAGGAAGGUGGGGAUGACGUCAAGUCCUCAUGGCCUUUAUGCCCAGGGCUACACACGUGCUACAAUGGCGGUACAAAGAGAAGCAACCUCGCGAGAGUGCGCAAAUCUCAAAAAGCCGUUCUCAGUUCGGAUUGAAGUCUGCAACUCGACUUCAUGAAGUCGGAAUCGCUAGUAAUCGCGGAUCAGCAUGCCGCGGUGAAUACGUUCCCGGGCCUU
Molecule: ribosomal RNA, 271 nt
Filed under: uncultured Syntrophaceae bacterium
Lineage: Bacteria; Pseudomonadati; Thermodesulfobacteriota; Syntrophia; Syntrophales; Syntrophaceae
Description: partial 16S ribosomal RNA
Rfam family: Bacterial small subunit ribosomal RNA
Source: RNAcentral